RNAcentral lists this ribosomal RNA (554 nucleotides) under Desulfovibrio piger. RNAcentral describes it as "partial 23S ribosomal RNA". It matches the Rfam family "Bacterial large subunit ribosomal RNA", at positions 659 to 1212 of the family's 2925-position model. The record is from RNAcentral. Lineage: Bacteria; Pseudomonadati; Thermodesulfobacteriota; Desulfovibrionia; Desulfovibrionales; Desulfovibrionaceae.
AGUGGAGCCGUAGGGAAACCGAGUCUGACAAGGGCGAUGAGUAGUGCGGAUUAGACCCGAAACCGGGUGAUCUAUCCAUGAGCAGGUUGAAGCAAGGGUAAAACCUUGUGGAGGACCGAACCAAUACCGGCUGAAAACGGUUUGGAUGACUUGUGGAUAGGGGUGAAAGGCCAAUCAAACCCGGUGAUAGCUGGUUCUCCCCGAAAUAUAUUGAGGUAUAGCCUCAUGGAUUGUCUACCGGAGGUAAAGCACUGACAGGGCUAGGGGUCCUACCAGAUUACCAAACCCUAUCAAACUCAGAAUGCCGGUCAGAUGUACCAUGGGAGUCAGACGGCGGGUGCUAAGGUCCGUCGUCGAGAGGGUAAGAGCCCAGAUCAACAGCUAAGGUCUCCAAAUCUAUGCUCAGUGGUUAAGGUGGUGACGUUGUAGAGACACCCAGGACGUUGGCUUAGAAGCAGCCAUCGUUUAAAGAAAGCGUAAUAGCUCACUGGUCUAAUGACGUUGCGCCGAAAAUGUAACGGGGCUAAGCAUAGUACCGAAGCUUUGAAUUCCGC